AUUCCUAAAAAAAUGGAUGAAAAGAAAUAAUCUCUUUUUUUUCUCUGCUGUCAUGUUACUCUGCACACUAUAAAAGAAAAUCAUCAAUUUCAGAAAGAGAGCUCUAGCCUAUGGCAAAGAAGUGAAUACAAUACAAUAUAUUCAACUUAUGGCAUUCCGGUGGGGUUUGUCAUUAAAUGGAGACAAGAACUCUGGACCUGAAAUUCACCUUUCUGCAGCACUGAUAAUUGACUAGGGUUCUGGUACAAAUAGAAAAUCCUGAUUUAUACUUCUUUUCUGUUUGGUAACUUUUCUUAUCAUUUCUCUGCCUUCAGUUCAUUACUUAUGAAGCUGAAUGAGUGGAUUCUGCAAUAGUUUAUAAACACUUAUCCAUUGAUAUUCUGCCCAGCAUCCUGGUGUAAGAGAGGAACUUGGACUUAACCUGCCAGAAGGAAGAGAGAAGCAGAUUUUUCAGUCUGAAGGACCAACUGGAACAGGGGAAGGGAAGAAAGGAGAGACAGUUCUGAAGGAAGGAGAGAGGAAAUUAGAGAAUCUGGACAGUUGGGAACUGACUUCUUUCUGGGAUGUAUGGAUGAGUGAAUUGGAGAAAAACCUGCAACAGAGCCAAAGGAGUAAAGUUUGCAGAAGCUGUCAAUCAAGAAGCAUUCUGGAAUGGAAUGUGGCUGGAGGGAGACUGUUGGAAGGAAACAUCCAAACUGUUGGGAGUACUCUCUUUCUUCUGAGACAGAGUGACCUUUCUCCUGAGACAGGAAGGAAAGCCCAACAGAAAGGGAAGACCUGAGCAGACCUCUGGACCAGCAGCCUCUGACUGUGACUCCUAACCCAGAUUCCAGAGAAGACAAGCUGAGUGAAUAGGACUUCAAAAGGAAGCUGUUCACUAUAAGAAUUCCUCUGAAUCCCCUGAAGUCCUUGAACUUGUUAUAAUAGCCAAGGCAGCUAGAAAGUCAGGACAUCUUCACAACUGACCUGGGGCGGGGUGGGGUGGGGGGGAAUCAGGCACGCAACCCUGAUCUUGCCAGACUUUGGGAGAAGGGGUUCAAUUACUUCUAGGGACCUCCACUCCUUUCCCAAUCCCACAUUCCUCAAUUCUAUUGCCCUAUCCUUCAUUUGUUUCCUUACAAUAAAGAGCUGUUCAUAAGAGCA
Molecule: long non-coding RNA, 1143 nt
Filed under: Monodelphis domestica (gray short-tailed opossum)
Lineage: Eukaryota; Metazoa; Chordata; Mammalia; Didelphimorphia; Didelphidae
Description: lncRNA (ENSMODG00000041351.1)
Source: RNAcentral